Long non-coding RNA from Ornithodoros turicata, 386 nucleotides. RefSeq lists it as uncharacterized. The record is from RefSeq and is a predicted model, not a curated record. Lineage: Eukaryota; Metazoa; Arthropoda; Arachnida; Ixodida; Argasidae. The transcript is spliced from 3 exons.
GUGAGCAGCUCUCUGCAAUACUCCACAGCUUAAGCUCUGCAGCUGAAGAAGCAGAAUCACAAAGGGCUCUGCCCAUGCCAUUCAGAAGGCUCUCAGAUUUUUUGCAGUUUGAGGAGGACCUGGCAGACAGCGACACAAAGCGAAGCCAGUUGAGAAAGUUCAUCCGAUCUGUUGGAGGUGGCAACCCACGAGAGCUGACAUUCCGGUUCCUAUCACGCCUCUUGGGAUACAGUGUUGGGAAAGAGUACAGCUUGUUCGGAAAUAAAGGAAAGAGGAAGUUCAGCAAUCUUACCACAUGGACUAUCAUGCUCAACUAUAUGACAGAAACUAAGGGAGCUACAGUGAAAGAGGUCGAGCAAGCUACGAUGUCCUGGCUCCGACAUGCG